GUCGAGGGGCAGCAUGGGGGAGUAGCAAUACUCUCUGAUGGCGACCGGCGCAAGGGUGCGUAACGCGUGAGCAACUUGCCCUCAUCAGGGGAAUAAUCGCUGGAAACGGCGUCUAAUGCCCCAUGGUGAUGUCCUCAGGCAUCUGAGGUCAUCUAAAGAUCCGUCGGAUGGGGAUAGGCUCGCGUGACAUUAGCUAGACGGCGGGGUAACGGCCCACCGUGGCGACGAUGUCUAGGGGUUCUGAGAGGAAGGUCCCCCACACUGGAACUGAGACACGGUCCAGACUCCUACGGGAGGCAGCAGUGAGGAAUAUUGGUCAAUGGGCGAGAGCCUGAACCAGCCAAGUCGCGUGAAGGAUGACGGCCCUACGGGUUGUAAACUUCUUUUGUCAGGGAGCAAUUGGGUCCACGCGUGGGCUUAGCGAGAGUACCUGAAGAAAAAGCAUCGGCUAACUCCGUGCCAGCAGCCGCGGUAAUACGGAGGAUGCGAGCGUUAUCCGGAUUUAUUGGGUUUAAAGGGUGCGUAGGCGGAAUAUCAAGUCAGCGGUAAAAAUUCGGGGCUCAACCCCGUCGUGCCGUUGAAACUGAUGUUCUUGAGUGGGCGAGAAGUAUGCGGAAUGCGUGGUGUAGCGGUGAAAUGCAUAGAUAUCACGCAGAACUCCGAUUGCGAAGGCAGCAUACCGGCGCCCAACUGACGCUGAAGCACGAAAGCGUGGGUAUCGAACAGGAUUAGAUACCCUGGUAGUCCACGCAGUAAACGAUGAAUGCUGGUUGUCCGGGUCGAAUGAGACCUGNGCGGCGAAGCGAAAGCGAU
RNAcentral lists this ribosomal RNA (813 nucleotides) under uncultured bacterium. RNAcentral describes it as "bacterial SSU rRNA". It matches the Rfam family "Bacterial small subunit ribosomal RNA", at positions 61 to 861 of the family's 1533-position model. The record is from RNAcentral.